GCGCUCGCUCUGUCCGCCCCCCUUUUGCUCCGUUGGUUUGGUAUCGGGUGAAGAAAAUAAACCCACUGCUGCUGCUAACAAACCAGGCUAGUUAUGGAACCGAACCCCGAACACUGGCUCUAAAGGGGGAGUUCCGUUCCUCCUCGAACACGCAUGCGGCGCCUCUGUGUGGGAGAACAGCCCGGCGAGCGCUCGGGCUUUUUCGGACCUCUUCGUUCUUUGAAAAAAAGAAGACCCAGCAGCUAGGGGAGGCUUUCAUUAGCUCUAGCUAACCCGUGCUAACCGUAGCCUGCAGGAACUUCGCAUGGGCUGCGAAUGGGAGAGUAGCCGCCGCCUCCUCCCUCUUCUCCGUCUCCUCUUGCUGCUGCUGCCCGGCUGUUAGGGUUUUCUUUCCGAUUCAUAUGGGAGUGUCGUCGGUGCUUUAAUGGACGCUACCGGAGCCACAGAAAGGCGAACCCCGUGUGCUAGUGUGGUUUCAGCGGCGAACGCCAUCGCGUUAUUAUUGUCGUUAACCUGGGGAGAAUCCUACAGGCGAAGCUAACAGGAUAUUAGCCACCUUUUCUCCGCUUUUGUGGUCGCAGGCCACGGACUGAGAAAAGCCUUCAUCGGUUGACUGGGUGGUGGUGGCGAUGAUGAUGAUGAUGGUGGUGGCGAGGUUGGCAGCUCGUUAUUUAUUGGGAUGCAGCGAUAAUCAGACUCCACUAAACGGAUUAAAAGCGGAGUUUAGUUUGAGUUCAACUCCUGUGUGAGUGUGUGUGUGCUGUUUUUUUUUACUUGAAACUUGAAAUGCAAGGUUUUUCGCACUUGGGAUAGAAGACACGGGAUUAUCUUAAUUAAACUACAGAUUGUUAAUAUAAUGUCUACCGCUAAAGAAAACCCCUGUAGGAAAUUCCAGGCGAACUUCUUCAACAAAAGUAAAUGUCAGAACUGCUUCAAACCUCGGGAGCUGCAUCUGCUCACGGACCAGGAUUUGACCCAGGCGAAACCUAUUUAUGGCGGAUGGUUGUGCUUGGCCCCCGAGGGAACCGACUUCGACAAUCCUAUGCAAAGAUCCCGAAAAUGGCAAAGGAGAUUCUUUGUGCUGUACGAACACGGCUGUCUGCGCUUCGCCCUGGACGAAUCGCCCAGCACGCUGCCUCAGGGCACCGUGAACAUGAACCUCUGCACGGACGUCAUUGACGCCGAGCCCAAGACAGGCCAGAAGAACUCCCUGUGCAUCAUCACGCCAGACCAGGAGUACUUCAUCAGAGGGGAGAAUAAAGAAAUCAUCAAUGGGUGGAGCGAGCAACUGGUGGUUUACCCCCGCACCAACAAACAAAACCAGAAGAAGAAACGUAAGGUGGAGCCCACGACCUCCCAGGAGCCGGGUCCAGCCAAGGUCGCAGUGACAGGCUCUGGAAUCCCAGAGGCAGAGAAGGUUCCAGACUCCAGCUCCAUAAUCUGGCAGGAGGAGCUGAACCAGAGGGAGGCCGAGGGCGCCGCAGUCUGGGCCACUGCCGACGUAACCCCAGGGUCACCACUGCCCUCCACAGGUGACGCUCGUGCGUCUGUUGGCCUUGGUUCAGACGGCGGCUCAGUCAACGGUGACGAGGUGGACCAGGGAAGCCUGACGCUCCACAGCUCGGUGCCGCAGCAGCCGCCGCCGUCGUCCAGCGACCUGCUCUCCCCGACGGGCUCCUGCUCCAGCCUGGGGGGAGUCCCGCGCUGCCUCUCCCCGGCCCCCAGCGACCCCUUCCCCUCGGGCAGCUCCCUUCUCUCCAACGGCUCCCACAUCAGCGGAUCGGUCAGCUCCCUGGACUCGGACGCCAGCGGCAGCACGGUGACCAGCAACGACAGUCACCCGACCUCGCAGCGGGGAGGCCACGCCUACAGCCACCACGACACGCCGCGGUCCAGGCGGCUGGAGGCCGAGGCCAGGAAGGCCGAGAAGAGGAGCAGGUUCAGGAGCCCGGACAGGCAGGAGAGAGAGGCCGUCCUCAGCCCCGAGAGGAGUCGCUCUGGUGUCAUUGAGAAGAUGGAGGCACUGGAGCUGGAGAAUCAGGAGAAAAUGGAGGUGGAGGAGUCGGGGAGGAGUGGAGGCAGACAGGGCCGGAGCGAGCACAGGCGCUUCCAAAGAGAGGAACAGAGACAUGACGCCGGUCAGGGUCUGGACUUCCCCUCCACGCUGCCUCCGCUCAGGAGAGCCAAGUCCUUGGACCGGAGGACGACUGAGUCGGUCAUGACGCCGGAUUUGCUAAACUUUAAGAAAGGUUGGAUGGUGAAGCUGGACGAACAAGGCCAGUGGAAGAAAUACUGGUUUGUGUUGACGGAUCACAGCCUGAGAUACUACAAGGAUUCCAUUGCAGAGGAGGCCUCUGACCUGGAUGGAGAGAUUGACCUCUCUACGUGUUACAACGUCACCGAGUACCCGGCUCAGCGUAACUACGGUUUCCAGAUACAUACCCAGGAGGGCGUGCACACUCUGUCCGCCAUGACGGCAGGAAUACGCAGGAACUGGAUCCAGGCCGUCAUGAAGAACGUCAGACCCUCCACUGCUCCUGACGUGGCGAGCUCCAUCGAGGAUCACGGUUCCUUCACUCCUCUGGAAGGUCUGGUCAGACCCGACGUCACCCAGGACUCCCCUUCUUCAGAGGCCUCUUCCGCUGAGAGAGAGUCCGCUCCCGGUGUUACAAAGAGCCGCGCGCGUGAGCGCAGGCGAGAGGGCCGCUCCAAGACCUUCGACUGGGCGGAGUUCAGGCCCAUCGCACAAGCUCUGGCUCAGCAGCGAGCGCAGGAGGCCGAGAGCCUCCAGGCCGACCUGGGGGAGCUGGAGCGCAUCCGGAGGCGGGAGGAGAGGCGGAAGAGGUACGAGUCGGUGACAAGCACGUCGGGGGAGAACGCGUCUGUCAAAGAAGCGGGGAGGACGGACUACGAGGGCGGAGAGGGAGACCGACACGUGGACUCACUGGGCCCCGCGUCCUUCGAGAAGCACCAGCAGGUGGAGGAGAUGAUCGAGGAACACUGGCGGCAGGUGGAGAAGACGCCUCUACGGGACGAGAGACGGGUGCCGCUGCCCGCCACGGGACAAACAAGAGAGACCACAGAGCUGGAGCAGCUGCUGGACAAUUACAAACAAGGGAUCGAGGACCUGAAGGCUCAGCUGGAGAGCUGUCACCAGCAGCUCCUGGACUCCAACAAGCACAAGCAGGAGCUGGAGCUGCAGCUGAGGACGGCGCUGGACAGAGAGCAGGACAUCCGCACAGGUUACAUCUCACCGCUGGAUCCCGCUUUGGGUCUGGAGGCUGAUGUGUCGCCCCAGGCGAAGAGGCCUGAACUGGUUAGUUCUCAAGCACAGAGUUUAACAAAGAAGUACCAGGAGACCAAAGAGCUCCUGAAACUGCAAGAGCUGAAAAAGCGCAAUAUGCAGGCACAGCUUGGCCUCUCGCUUUCUCACCUCCCUGCCAAGGAACCUUCCUUUCCUGAACCCCAAAAACCACCCGUGUUGGAGGGCCCUCCUCCUGAACCUGUCCAAAAAUCUGUGAGUGUCUUGGUCUUGGACAGCUCAGAGGCAAUUCAAGAGCUAGAAGAUUUAAUUACUGGUAAAUGCCUCACUUUAACGGAGCUGGGAAAAGUGUUGAAAGCCCGUAGUUGUAAUCAAGAGCCGACAGAGAAGCGACAACUUCAGAAGCUCUUGGAGACCUGGAAGUACCAGCAGGAGGUAGAAAAUGAACUGAUCAAAAAGAGUUUAGCCAAGGCGGGAGAAAGCGUCAGAGAGUAUGAAGCUCGUCUUCUCUCCAUGGAGGGUCUGGUGGGGAAAGUCCAGAAGCAAAGUUUUGAAAGUCUGAAAAGCCCCUGUGGUCCCCUGUCAAAAAUCAAAAACCAUUCUGAGACGAAUGAAAUGACAGUCGCGAUGCUCUCUCAGAGGGUUGAACUUUUAACGAAUGACAACGGGGCUUUGAAACAACGAUGUCAGGAAAUAGUGAAUCAGUUGACUGAGGCUGACAGGGAAAUAGACAGGCUGAAAGCCGAGCUGAUCAGUCAGUCUGGUGGCAAACAGCACCAUCUGGUGGUGGAAGAGCUGAAAAGAGUGAAGGCCGAACUUGCCGAAAACCAAGCUACUGCAAUAGACAGGGAAUAUUAUGAGAGGGAGCUGAACGAGAAGUCCAUGAGGCUCCACGAAGCUCUUGUCACGUUGGAGGAGCUUGGUAAUUCCCUGAAAGACACAGAGAAGAAGCUGCAGUUGAAAGAGGCCACACUGAAAGGCCUGGGCUUCCCGACAGAUUAUGAGGACGAGGAGUCGCACCCUGAGAAAGAGCAACUCCAAGAGCUACUGGAAGCCUCGCAUAGACAGAUAUCUGAAAUGGAGGCAAACCUUCAGGCGACAGAGCAGCACUGCCUAGAACUGGAAGCUAGGAACAGUGAACUAAUUGCACUAAACCAGGAAUCUCGGAAAGUCAGUACAGAGAAGGUAGCAGAGGCAGAAAGCGAAAUAAGAAUGCUACAAGAGAAGUUAGAAAUGGAGAAAGGUAGAAAUGAAAUGACAGCAAUUGAAUGCAUUGAGUCAGGAGCAGAGCAGGUUGAUGAUAAAGGACUUACAGAGCAAGUAGUAGAACAGGUUGAGAUGAAGACGAAGGCGAUUCAGCAGGUUGUAGAGAUGUUAGCAAAGGUAGACGUUAAUGUAGAGAGAUUGCUUAGAGGUUUAAAAAGCACUUUAUUCGGUUCUUCGAAAGACGAUCCGCUCUGUUUGAGUCAGAACAACAUGAGGUUGGUAGUCGAGGCAGAGUUCUGGAGCCAGCUGUUGAUUACCUCCGAAAUGAACCCAGGGGAACUUAGUAGUGCCAGAAGUGUGGCAGAAAAGAUGAUUGCACAGAAGCGCUUGAUGAUCUCCAUCAGUGGGGUUUGUCCACAAGCAGAACUUGACGGUGAGGCAGGGACAGAGCUAGAUUUUGCAUUCAUGUACAGUUGGCUUGACAAUGAAACAAAUGCUCUGAUUCUGAAAGAGUUGAGAGAGACGUUAGAGGCAAAGUCAGAUGGUUUGAAGCUAAUUGCAUCCAGGGUGAUGCAGGACAAAGAUGGCGACAUCCUCUCUAUGGUUCUAGCAAGCUUUGAGUUCAGUCAAGAGCAGAAACAGCCCUCUGAAUAUUUGCAUGACGCUCUCAAAGAAGCAUUCAUGACUUAUGUGAUUAUUAGAUCUAAGGUCCAGUGCGAGAAAGAGCUCAAGCUAAGGCAGACCGAAGUUCAGAUUAGUAGCUUUGAUUGUCCAAAUUGUCCUAAAUUAGGAGAAGUUGUCGAUGAUCUCCAGUCUAAACUCGCAGAUCUUCAGAGUCAAAUGUCGGAGGCUUCUUUGAAAAUUGCUUCAGAGCCUCAAACUUUGAUCCAGAUCGAAGGGGAGCCCAUUGACUCAUUGGAUAAAACCAUUGAGCUACAUGACAUGAUAGCAAGGCAUAGGAAGGAGUUAAGAGAGGUCAAAGACCAGUACGAGCAGGAAGUUGAAAAGAUGAGGCAGGAAGUAGCCAAGGCCAGUGAAACUCUGCGUGUCCACUCAGAGGAAAACGUGAAGGAGAUCGACUCGUUGACCAGCUGCAUGGAGAACCUCAAAAAGAAGCAUGAGUUGGAGAGGACAAGCCUUGUGGAGCGGUUUGACCAGGAAAUGGAAGAGCUGAGAAGCAUGAUGAGUCCGGUUGACCCCAACGCGGCCUUGACUGAUGAGGACAAGGCGUCGCAUCAUGCCACGGCCCAAACUUCAACCCUGAAGCAACGCAUUCAAGAGCUGGUGACCCAAGUCUCAGUCAUGACUGAAGAGAUGCGACGACGGGAAGAGCAGGGCGACGCCGCAACUCACCGACUGAAAUACGAGAAAGACCUGGAAAAACUGAAGGCCACGUGUGAGCGAGGCUUCGCCGCCAUGGAGGAGUCCCACCAGAAGGUCAUCGAUGAGCUGCAGAGGAAACACCAGAGGGAGCUGGAGAACCUGCACGAGGAGAAGGAGAGGCUGCUGGCCGAGGAGACGGCGGCCACCAUCGCUGCGAUAGAAGCGAUGAAGAACGCCCAUCGCUCGGAGCUGGAGAAGGAGCUGGACCGAGCUCGCAAGGCCAACAACAACGUGGAGAACGCAGACGUGGAGGAGAUUCAGAGACAGCACGAGGAGGAGCUGUGUUCGCUGCACCGGGAGAUCGAGGUCUUGUCGGAGCAGUAUUCUCAGAAGUGCCUGGAGAACGCCCACCUGGCCCAGGCUCUGGAGGCCGAGAGGCAGGCCCUCAGGCAGUGUCAGAGGGAGAACCAGGAGCUCAACGCGCACAACCAGGAGCUGAACAACCGUCUGGCGGCAGAGAUCACAAAAAUGCGAUCGAUGACGUCGGAGGACGGAGGCUCCGACACCACGAUACCAGGGAAAGAGCUCUACGAGUUUGAGGUGAUGCUCAGGGUGAAGGAGUCUGAGGUUCAGUACCUGAAGCAGGAAAUCAAUUCCCUGAAGGACGAACUGCAAAGUGCUCAAAGAGAUAAGAAAUACGCCACGGACAAGUACAAGGACAUCUACACGGAGCUGAGCAUCGUCAAGGCCAAAGCGGAGCGCGACCUGGGUCGACUCAGAGACCAGCUGCAGCUGGCACACGAGGCGCUCGGCGAGCCGUCGCUGGAGGAGGUGGAGCGGGGGGGAUACGACAUCAUGAAGUCCAAAAGCAACCCCGACAUUCUUAAGAUGGCGGCCGCCGCGGCCAAGCGCUCAGAGCGAACCAUGAGGUCAAAGUCUGAGAGUCAUGAUGAUGAUGAUGAUGAUGAUGAUCCCUAGGACAGUUUGUCCUCAUUGAGGACAUGUAGUCCUCCGUCCUCUUCUUCUUCUUCUUUAGAGUCUGAAGGAAGGACUGACGGCCGAGCAGAGACUCCACCUGUUUGAAAACAAAGACACCAAGGAGUUCUGACGACGACGGCGGCGGCGGCUGCGACGCGCCACGGCUGCAUGUUCACAAGCCCUCACUAUAUUUUAGCUGUGUAAUAAAAAAAAAAAAAAACGUAUUUAGUAACACUACACACUGGUCACAAACACAGAUCAUAUAUUAUGGUAUGAAGUUUGAAUUUCAUGUCUAGAAUUUGCAUUCCAUGCACUUCAGUUAACUGUGACGUUUGUUGUUUUUUUUUGUAUUGAUAAUUGUGUUGCUGCCAUGUCUUACUGUGUAAAUACUGUUUUUAAUUCAUGCGUACACUAAAACUCUGACUGUGUAAGCUACUGUUUUAACUCUCUAGACUGUUGCUCGCCACAAAUGUGAUGUCUGACGACGACGCUGAUGAGCGAGUUAACACUUAACAAAAACCCGCAAGGAAUCAGGAGUCUUUGCGUUCCAAGGUCUGCACGUCAAGCGCUUUCCGUUACCGUGGCGACGCAGGAAGGAAGCUCGGCGGAAAACAAGUUACAGAAGAAAAAUUAUUUGCUCGUCCAGGCGUGGGGGGCGGGGACAAAGUAACCCCCCCCCCCGCCUUCCAUGUCGCUUCACGGCGCCUGACAGUCAUUCUCUUUUAAACCCUCGAGACGCCGCGGCUGAAACGCUUUCGGACGAGAUUCACUGACUAUAAUUUAAAUAUAUAAAUAAUGAAAAUUUAUAUAGAGUUUUCUUGUGUUUUUUUCUCUCUCUCUCUCUCUCUCUCUGUUCUCUGCAAUCAUCAGUCCAGCUGUAAAGGAGUCGUUGGAGGUUUUGUUUGUAGUCUCGUUCAGUGGCAGUCCCUUUUGUAUUUAUUUAAAAUGGUUUUUGUUUUUUUCCUCUCCUCACACAUUCCCAUUCCUCUGUUCUCUAUUAUUGUAAAUAUAAAGCAAAUAUACAUCAACUGACUACAGGUUUAUUAGCAAUAAAUAUUUUUGCACCCUU
Molecule: RNA transcript, 7838 nt
Organism: Solea senegalensis (Senegalese sole)
Lineage: Eukaryota; Metazoa; Chordata; Actinopteri; Pleuronectiformes; Soleidae
Gene: mpripb
Gene name: myosin phosphatase Rho interacting protein
Exons: 25
Source: RefSeq, a predicted model, not a curated record